AGACCCGAAACCCGGUGAUCUAGCCAUGGGCAGGUUGAAGGUUGGGUAACACUAACUGGAGGACCGAACCGACUAAUGUUGAAAAAUUAGCGGAUGACUUGUGGCUGGGGGUGAAAGGCCAAUCAAACCGGGAGAUAGCUGGUUCUCCCCGAAAGCUAUUUAGGUAGCGCCUCGUGAAUUCAUCUCCGGGGGUAGAGCACUGUUUCGGCAAGGGGGUCAUCCCGACUUACCAACCCGAUGCAAACUGCGAAUACCGGAGAAUGUUAUCACGGGAGACACACGGCGGGUGCUAACGUCCGUCGUGAAGAGGGAAACAACCCAGACCGCCAGCUAAGGUCCCAAAGUCAUGGUUAAGUGGGAAACGAUGUGGGAAGGCCCAGACAGCCAGGAUGUUGGCUUAGAAGCAGCCAUCAUUUAAAGAAAGCGUAAUAGCUCACUGGUCGAGUCGGCCUGCGCGGAAGAUGUAACGGGGCUAAACAAUGCACCGAAGCUGCGGCAGCGACACUGUGUGUUGUUGGGUAGGGGAGCGUUCUGUAAGCCUGUGAAGGUGUACUGUAAG
RNAcentral lists this ribosomal RNA (559 nucleotides) under Escherichia coli. RNAcentral's name for it is "partial 23S ribosomal RNA". It matches the Rfam family "Bacterial large subunit ribosomal RNA", at positions 711 to 1267 of the family's 2925-position model. The record is from RNAcentral. Lineage: Bacteria; Pseudomonadati; Pseudomonadota; Gammaproteobacteria; Enterobacterales; Enterobacteriaceae.